CUACGGGUGGCUGCAGUGGGGAAUCUUAGACAAUGGGGGAAACCCUGAUCUAGCCAUGCCGCGUGAGCGACGACGGCCCUAGGGUUGUAAAGCUCUUUCAGCAGGGAAGAUAAUGACGGUACCUGCAGAAGAAGUCCCGGCUAACUCCGUGCCAGCAGCCGCGGUAAUACGGAGGGGACUAGCGUUGUUCGGAAUUACUGGGCGUAAAGCGCGCGUAGGCGGAUUGUUAAGUCGGGGGUGAAAUCCCGGGGCUCAACCCCGGAACUGCCCUCGAUACUGGCAGUCUUGAGUUCGAGAGAGGUGAGUGGAAUUCCGAGUGUAGAGGUGAAAUUCGUAGAUAUUCGGAGGAACACCAGUGGCGAAGGCGGCUCACUGGCUCGUUACUGACGCUGAGGUGCGAAAGCGUGGGGAGCAAACAGGAUUAGAUACCCGGGUAGUC
Molecule: ribosomal RNA, 439 nt
Filed under: uncultured bacterium
Lineage: Bacteria
Description: partial 16S ribosomal RNA
Rfam family: Bacterial small subunit ribosomal RNA
Source: RNAcentral